This 4242-nucleotide long non-coding RNA is filed under the name Canis lupus familiaris (dog). Its description in RNAcentral is "lncRNA (ENSCAFG00000051432.1, ENSCAFG00845007419.1)". Lineage: Eukaryota; Metazoa; Chordata; Mammalia; Carnivora; Canidae. The record is from RNAcentral.
CAAACAAAAUUAUUUGUUUAAUUUUGGCCUUUCACCAAAAUGAUGAAAUCAUUUUUAGAAAACAGAUAUUGUUCCACUCUUCAAGUACUCUAUCGAUAGGGGAGUGAGCCAGGUUUCAAAUAAAAUAUGUGUAGCCAAAUAAUUUUUAACUUUAAGUCCAGUCUAGUUAACACAGUGUUACAUUUGGUACAAGUGUACAAUGUAAUGAUUCAACAACCCUAUACACCACUGAGUGUUCAUCAAGGUAACCUACUCUAUAAUACCUUUGAUCUAUUUCACCCACCUUCCAAAUACUUUUUUGAAUAUUAAAUAAUCUUUUAUCUAUAACAAUGUUUGAAAUGUUUUUUUAAUCCAUCAUGAACUAUGAUGCAUGCCACAAAGAAAAUGCAUGUCCUUCUAAGCAGUUGUUUCCAAGAUUCUUGAUUCAGAUAUUAGCAUUAUGAAAAAAAAUAUCUUUAACCCCUAGUCUCAAACUGCCAAAAUACUUGAAGCAAGCAUAUGACCAACUCUCAAAGUUUUAAUUUCCAGACCUGAAACUAGAAUAUAAAACUAUCAAAGGCUUAAUUUCCAAUAUAUUGGCCAUUAGUGGCAUGUGACCAGUAUUAAAAUAAUAAUAAAAUAUAUAUUAAAUAUAUUAAAAUGUGACUAGUAUUACCAAGGAAUUAAAUUCUUAUUAAUUAUAAUUAAUUUUAUCUAAAUUUAAAAGCAGUGUAAAAUGUCUUUCUACUAAAGAGAAUGUUAUUGUCUUGAUAGUACUACAUUGCAUUGUAACCGCUGCACUGUGUAUUAUACUGAGCACUAUAAUAAGUCAUUUCUAGUUACAUAUAAAAUUGAUCUAGACAGCAACAAUUAACUAUUAAGCUGUAAUGAUUUCAAAAAGCUGGAAUGAUUUUUUACACAUAUCAUGUAAUAACAGUGUAAUGCAUUUACUUAAAUAUUUUUGGAAAUAACACAAAUUGCAGUGAUGCCUAUUUAAAUCAUAAUGGUAACUAAAUGGAGAUAUGUUUUCAUUUUUACCGUAAUUUUAUUAUUUAACAUAUUUUGAAUAUAGUUACUUUCUUUAAAAACAAAUGAACAAAAAGGGGAGAGCAAGGUAUGAACAAAAUUUUUAAGUUAAAAAAAAAAAGGAAUGCAAAAUUAAGUGAUGACACAGAAGCUAGUACUACCACCAAAACAGUGAGACUAGAAGGUACUCCACAAAGUUUACUAUGAAUAACAAUUAAAAUCAGCUGUGGCAGAGCAAAAUAAAAAACCUGUUCCUUAUGUUAAAAAAAAAAAAUUACCUUCAAAUAAAAAAGUGGACAUUAAGAUAUAUUAUGAAUUUUAUAAAAAGUUUCCUCUCUAUAAUCAAAAGAGAAGCUACAAAAUUAGUCACCUGAUAACAAUUAAAUGUCUAACAAACGUUUUUAAAUGCUUUUGAAGGGACACCUGGUUGGCUCAGCAGUUGAGCAUCUGCCUUCGGCUCAGCGCACGGCCCCAAAGUACUGGGAUCAAGUCCCACAUCAGGCUUUUUGCAUGGGGCUUGCUUCUCCCUCUGACUGUGUCUCUGCCUCUCUCUGUCAUGAAUAAAUAAAAUAUUUUAAAAUAAAAUAAAAUAAAAUAUAAAUAAAUGAUUUUUAAGAGAUCACUCUGGCCAGGUAUAAAAAGCCUUAAAUUCCUGCAUCAAAGAAAAAAAAAAAAGGAACCAUAUUUAGAUGGAGAGAUGAUAAAGAAAUUUCAAUUAUAGAAAUUGCUAGAAAAUUAUGAGGAAUAGUAAGGAGGAUAUUUUGUAAGAAAUGAAGUUCUUAAAAUGAACCAUCAAACAAUUGCCCAUCAUAUGGAAGACCUUUCUAAAUACCAGAAAUCAAUAAAUUCGUGGUGCCUAGGUGGUUCAAUGGUUGAAUGUCUGCUCAGGUCGUGAUCCUGAGUCCUGGGAUUCAGUCCUGCAUCAUGCUCCCCCCAGGGAGACUGCUUCUCCCUCUGCCUGUCUUUGCCUCUCUCUCCCUCUCUCUCUCACACACACACACAUAAAUAAAAUCUUAAAAAAAAAUCAAUAGAUUCAAAAUUUGAGAAAUAAACACACUGACAAAUUAAAACCUUAGGCACAUUUUGUUUGAAAAAACUUCCAAAUUUAAGAAAAAAAAAAAGUCAAUAUGUGGCUUUAAAAAAAAUCAAAACUGUGGCAUAUUUUUCAAUUUUUACAUCUUUCAAAGAAUUUCACCUAUAUAUUUAAAAGUAGUUUCUAUCACAAUAGGCAACUCCAACUAUGUUUGGCCAUAAGUAAGUAACCCAUACUUACUCUCUUUAAAACAAGAAACUGAUGUUUCUCUUUAUUGUUUUAUUCCACUGUAUGAUACACAUUGAAAAUAUCUGUGCUCAGUUUUCUAGAGCAGACUUGAAAGGUGCCAGGGAUUAAAUUGUUAAAAUCAGUAAGUAUGUACAUGCAAAUGGUAUGUAUACUAGCCAGUUUAUGAAAUGAUUGGAAAAAAGCAAAAGACAAUAUAUUUAAUAAUCUUGUGUUCUUUGCUCAUUGGUGAGUAGAGGAAGAAUUUCACAAAGAUUUACUGUACUGUUAACUCUCAUUCAAGGAAGGAUUGCUUUUCAAUAUUCAAUAAUCAAAGACAAAAAUGGCAAUAUACUUUACGAAAAUACACCAGUACCCAGCUACAUAUACACAAGCCUAAUCUGAAGAAUCAAAGAAGGGAAACAUUUAUGACCUAGCUAUACAGAUGUGGAAAUUUAUGUUAAAACUGCAAGUUUUCAUAAUACAAAUCAAUAAUAAAGAUUUUCUACUCUUCCCUAAUAUGAAUCAAUAUACAGAAGAUUUUAAUUACAGUGUACAAUGUUAUGAAAACUGGCUGCAAAAAUGACAAGAAAUAGUUGAAUACUUUGUUGAUGCUGAUUAAAUUUAGAGCUGCUUUUCAACUUAUACAAUACCCUUUGGAAUUUUAUGUUAAUAGUACUGGGUUUAACUCAAGAGUAGGUGAAUUUGCUUAAUUUGAGUAGUAGUUUUGAAGCAGAUAAAGUAUAUGAACCAAUUUAUCAAUUUGGAUGCAGAUAUUAAAAGAAAAUUAUUUUUUGGUACUUAACUCAGACAUUGAAAAACAUUAAGUAUAUUUGGAACAACUUAGGUGUCUGAAUCUACUUCUUCACCCAUAAAUUUUAUGAAAUCUAAAUGAAGAUUAAAUAUUUCUGAAGAAAUUUUAGUGACUAAAUUGAGGUGUAAAGUACCUGACCAGGUUUUGAAUAAUUUGUACAAAAAAGAAAUGUAAAAUAUCUCAAUAUUUUUUAAUUGACUAUAUGCUAAGAUGAUACAUUAGAUAUAUCAGAUUAAGUAAAACUAAUUUAGGCUCUUUUUUUGUACAGUUUUCUUAAUGAGGCUACCAGAAAUUUUCAAAAACUUUUUUUUUUUAAGAUUUUAUUUAUUUAUUCAUGAGAGACACAGAGAGAGAGAGGCAGAGACACAGGGAGAGGGAGAAGCAGGCUCCAUGCAGGGAGCCUGAUGUGGGACUCAAUCCCGGCACUCCAGGAUCACGCCCCGGGCUGAAGGCAGGCACUAAACAGCUGAGCCACCCAGGGAUCCCCAGAAAUUUUCAAAUUAUAUGUGAUUCAAACUAUAAUUCUAUCACACUGAGCCACUCUGGACAAAAUUAACUAAAUAUAAAAUUAACUAAAUAUAAACAUAAUUAAGUUCUUGCAAGAAAAGAAUAUUUUAUUUUUUUUUCUUUUCUUUUUUGGGGGGCAGGGCAGAGGGGGGGAGGGGGAGAGAGAGAGAGAGAGAGAGAGAGAGAACCUUAAGCAGGCUUCAACCACCACCCCCCAAGCCACAGAGCCCAAGCAGGUUGGAUCUCACAACCCCCAAAAUCACAACUUGAGCUGAAUUCAAGAGUCAGAUGCUUAACCAACUGAGCCACCCCAGGUGCCCCAAAGAGAAUGUUUAGAACAUCACUCUCAAUCACCUGAAACAUCAUCCUGAAAGUUCAUGUUACAAUAGCCCAUCACACUAUAUGCAGAACACAGAGUAAACAAGUCUCAGCAUCAGAAUAUAAAUUUACCCAAGGAAAAUUUAGUGAUACACUAUGUUUUUAAGCAUUUACAGAUGGAUGGGUAAUAAACAGGAGAUAAUAUAAAAGAGGUAAGCUUCAGAGUUACAAUAGCUUAAAAAGUGUUUGAUAAAAACUAAGACAGGAGAGACUCAUUCUCUAGGAAACUAGUUAUAGAAUAUAACAGCAAAUUAUACAAAGAUAAGGAGAAUAUUAAAAU